AUGGGAAGGUAAAAAUGUUGUUGCAACUGGUCGGAAGAUCAUUGGUGCCACUAAACCUUCAGAGUCGGAUCCCGGCACCAUCCGUGGUGAUUUUGCAGUUGAAGUUGGAAGGAAUGUCAUUCAUGGAAGCGAUUCAGUUGAGAAUGCUAAGAAAGAGAUUGCACUGUGGUUCCCUGAUGGCACAGUGAACUGGCAGAGCAG
Molecule: unclassified non-coding RNA, 201 nt
Filed under: Hevea brasiliensis (rubber tree)
Lineage: Eukaryota; Viridiplantae; Streptophyta; Magnoliopsida; Malpighiales; Euphorbiaceae
Source: RNAcentral